CGACAAACGACGACGAGGACACCGAGAAGAGGAACGAAACGGUGGACGAACGACCGAACGAACGAGGCGGCUGAAAGCACCGGAGAAAGAGUAGGAGUAGUGCGAAGAAGCAACGGCGAAGAGGGGUGUACCAAGCGAUAGUCCAAGGACCCGCCGCGCGACCCGGCCAAACCCAGAACCCGGCGUAUAGGUACCGCGGGCUCGCAUUCGAGCUCCAGCCACCCCAGCUGCUCUAUCCCCACCAGACCAGUCAACCCCCUCGGCCAGUGAUGUGUCGACUGUCCUCCGGACCACGUCGAAAUGUAAAUUCAAGGAUUUCUGUUACUGCCUGUUAUAAGAAUUGUCUUGUUUAAUUAUUUGUAAAUUACAUGCGCUAGUAACUGUGGAUUAUUUGAAAAUUAUAGCAAUAUAUUGCUACUAGCGAAUCAA
Bombus huntii is the source of this 429-nucleotide long non-coding RNA. RefSeq lists it as uncharacterized. The record is from RefSeq and is a predicted model, not a curated record. Lineage: Eukaryota; Metazoa; Arthropoda; Insecta; Hymenoptera; Apidae. The transcript has 2 exons.